This 31-nucleotide non-coding RNA is filed under the name Homo sapiens (human). The record is from RNAcentral. Lineage: Eukaryota; Metazoa; Chordata; Mammalia; Primates; Hominidae.
UGGUCUCAAACUCCUGACUUCAGGUGAUCCA